Lolium perenne is the source of this 1214-nucleotide non-coding RNA. The record is from RefSeq and is a predicted model, not a curated record. Lineage: Eukaryota; Viridiplantae; Streptophyta; Magnoliopsida; Poales; Poaceae.
CUGAAAACCCUAGAUCGGGAUCCCUGCCUCAUCUCUCCUCCCCAAUGGGACGCAUCCCUGCUUCCUCCCAAUCGGUCGUCUCCUGGCAGCGCGCGACGGCGACAUCGGCCGGAAUUGAACGGGACGGCGGCGAGCAGUCCUGGAACGGGGCUGUGGCGCCUCGUCUCUUUUCUCCCUCGAGAUCGUGCACGGGAUUGGCCCAAUCCCCACCUCCCACGCCCUCUGCUGCCUCCCCGGCUCGUCUCCUUCCAUCCUCGUUCUUCGGUUUUAGCCAUGGAGGACGCGGAUCAAGUGGCAGCGCAGCACGGGGCUAAGAUUUGUUCAGGGAACGGAGUAGGAGGGCUGGGCCACCAUACGUGCUUCCACGACUGCCUACACCACUUCUCGUCUUCCUCCUGGCCAAAAUCAUGCCUAAAGUGAUGGACUGCUCCUGGAAGAAAGAAGCAUCAGCGGGCAGCGCGUAGAAGAGGAAGCGGGUCGGCGGCGUGGAGGUUGCAGGCUGGCGCGGAGGAGAGGCAGCGGCGGGCGGCGUGGAGAAGAAGAAGCGGGGCGGCGGGUAGCAAGAAGCAGCGGUGCUGCACGGAGAAGAGGCAGCAGGGCGCGGUGCGGGCAAGAAGCGGCAGCGCCGCCCUGUCUCUUGUACAGGCUGGCCCUGGAUGCGGUCAAGAAAUAGUGGGGGCGAUGCAGACGCUGCCCACGAGCCGGAGGGAUGCAGUCAAGAAACAGUGGGGGUGGCGCAGACGCCGCCCACGAGCCCGUCCUCACGGAGGACGCUGUAUGCCACGAGCUCGUCCUCACGGAGGCCGCCGUACGCCUCGUGCUUGUCCUCACGGAGGACAGGUCGACUCCGGCGGCCUUUGGCACUGUGCAGGAGAUUGAGCCGGCGGUCUACUGGCUAAGAGGUUCGGUUUCCCUAUCUCCGUCGGUAGCAUCCACACCUCCGCGUCAGGCUGGACAGGUGGACGGUAAUGUUCCUUGGCAGACAGUGGACGGUUCGGAAUGGGGAUGGAUUGAGCAACAAUAGAGUGUUUUCAUUGUCCUAGGGUGGUUUGGGCUGGAGCAUUGGAGCUCCGACGCUUGUGCCGCUGCGCCCCAAAGUUGUGAAAUGGCUUCUACUGGUAUUCCCUCUCUAUUCUUUCUUAUCAAUAUCUAUCAGGUUGCUGCUAUGUAUGUCUCACCACUUUGUUUUUUGAGUCAAUCACUCUGAUAUAUGA